RNAcentral lists this long non-coding RNA (501 nucleotides) under Mytilus galloprovincialis (Mediterranean mussel). Lineage: Eukaryota; Metazoa; Mollusca; Bivalvia; Mytilida; Mytilidae. The record is from RNAcentral.
GUUAAAUGGUUCAUGAGUAAAUGCAACAACAUGAAUGGAAACGCCAUUUUUCGAUCUUUCAAGAACCAUAACUCUUGAACGGUAAAAGUCAAAAUCGACAUUAUUGAACUUGACCUCCAUUUUGUCAUCAGUAAUAACAUAUUAAAAUUUGAAAAGCUUUGGUUGAACAGUUCAUGAGUAAAUGCACGGACACGACUGGAAUAGUCAUUUUUCAAUCUUUCAAGAACCAUAACUCCUGAACGGUAAAAGUCAAAAUCGUCAUUAUUGAACUAGACCUCCAUUUUGUCAUCAGUAACAACAUAUUAAAAUUUGGGAAGCUUUGGUUGAACAGUUCAUGCGUAAAUGCACGGACACGACUAGAAAUGUCAUUUUUCAAUCUUCCAAGAACAAUAACUCAUGAACGGUAACAGUCAAAAUCGUCAUUAUUGAACUUGACCUCCAUUUUGUCAUCAGUAACAACAUAUUAAAAUUUGAAAAGCUUUGGUUGAACGAUUCAUGAGU